Non-coding RNA from Labrus bergylta (ballan wrasse), 615 nucleotides. The record is from RefSeq and is a predicted model, not a curated record. NCBI's taxonomy places the organism in Eukaryota, Metazoa, Chordata, Actinopteri, Labriformes, Labridae.
GAUUCUUAUUUUAAUUGUAUUUUAUUGUAGUAAGCAAUAAGACUUCAAAAUCAAAAAUUCAGUCAGACCUGAUUCUGGUUUGGUUCAGUGUCUCCAUGCUGGCAUGUCGGUCGUCCACCUCUCUGACAAGCUGCAGGUUCCUCUGAUCAGCCAGAUCCAGGGGGGAGAGAACUUCAAUCACUGGAGAUGAAAAGUUACAGUUGUUUCCUUGAACACAAUCAGCCAAAUACUCAUAAAAGACAUACAGGUACACACCCCUUCCAGCAGGGGGCGCUCUGGCGGUAUGGAAUACAACACAGGACCAGGCUGAAACUAUGUGACAACUCUGUACCCUCACAGAAUUACUCUGAAUUUAUGUGCUCCUAGGUUGGUCCCAAUUCAAAAGUUGAAGAAAUAUAGAUGCUACAAAGGUAAUGAGUUUAAUUAUAAUUAUUACCUAGACCUAAUAUAUGCCCCUCCAUUUUGACAGGGACAAACCAUUACAGCCUAUUAAGUUAUUGCAGAUACAAAUGUGCUGAAAAAUGACAUGCAAUACAUGACUUAAUACAACAACAAAAAAAAAGACUUAGUUUCAGUUUUUGCCGAUAUUUAGUUGGGACAGGGGACAGAGUAGGA